GACGUAGGGCGCGAGCGUUGUCCGGAUUUAUUGGGCGUAAAGAGCUCGUAGGCGGCUUGUCGCGUCGAAUGUGAAAACUCGGGGCUCAACUCCGAGCUUGCAUUCGAUACGGGCAGGCUAGAGUUCGGUAGGGGAGACUGGAAUUCCUGGUGUAGCGGUGAAAUGCGCAGAUAUCAGGAGGAACACCGAUGGCGAAGGCAGCUCGCUGGGACGGUACUGACGCUGAGGCGCGAAAGCGUGGGGAGCAAACAGG
RNAcentral lists this ribosomal RNA (253 nucleotides) under uncultured bacterium. RNAcentral's name for it is "partial 16S ribosomal RNA". It matches the Rfam family "Bacterial small subunit ribosomal RNA", at positions 524 to 776 of the family's 1533-position model. The record is from RNAcentral.